UACGUAGGGCGCAAGCGUUGUCCGGAAUUAUUGGGCGUAAAGAGCUCGUAGGCGGUCUGUCGCGUCUGCUGUGAAAUCCCGAGGCUCAACCUCGGGCUUGCAGUGGGUACGGGCAGACUAGAGUGCGGUAGGGGAGAAUGGAAUUCCUGGUGUAGCGGUGGAAUGCGCAGAUAUCAGGAGGAACACCGAUGGCGAAGGCAGUUCUCUGGCCGUAACUGACGCUGAGGAGCGAAAGCGUGGGAGCGAACAGGAUUAGAUACC
RNAcentral lists this ribosomal RNA (261 nucleotides) under uncultured Actinomycetales bacterium. Its description in RNAcentral is "partial 16S ribosomal RNA". It matches the Rfam family "Bacterial small subunit ribosomal RNA", at positions 524 to 786 of the family's 1533-position model. The record is from RNAcentral. Lineage: Bacteria; Bacillati; Actinomycetota; Actinomycetes; Actinomycetales.